AGGAAACAAACCAGUGAUUACUGGUGGGGGAAGGAGGGAGGGCACUGGGCUACCCGUGCAGGUCUGCAAGCCUUGUGGUUGCCCAGCCUCGAGAAAGAAGAAAGAGCCCGGAGAUAUUGACAGAGUCGUCAAAACAUGCAUUUGGUCUAACAUUUCUGAAGCAAAAGGUCCCAGAGCGACAUGCCCGCGUGUAAAGCAGCCAGGCCAGCAGACAGGUCAUGGCCGCCAUCUUUGCUACUCAGGGAAGAGGGCGGCUGCUAUUUAUAGAUGAAUGGACCAAUAGGUUGGCUCAUCGGUUACCAGGGAAACCAGCAGCUGGGGCAUAUCCCGCAGAGCCCCUUAGGUUAAGGAGCAUCAUGAGGGCAGGUGUUUCCUUUUAAUAAACUAGCAGGUGGAGCUGUUCUGGGCUAAGGAUUAGAACCAUCAGGAGCUGGGGCAGAGGGCAAGCACGUCCCUGUGCACAGGGGAUAGGUGAAGCAGAAGCUGACCGAGCAGGGGAGGAACACAGGGCAAGAGAGCAGCCGCCAUAAGUGGCCUGACCAUGCGUGCGUGCUACGCCCCUUCACUUGUGUCCAGCCCUUUGUAACACUACAGACUGCAGCCUGCCGCAUACUCCGCCUCAAACACCCUGCCUGACCCUUACAAUCUUGGUCCUCCCCUCUUCCGAGAUAUCCGUGGGAGGAGGACAACAGCGGCAUCUCACUGUAGAUCCAGCAAUCAAGCCACUGUCUCCUAGCCGCUCAGACUAGGGUGAAGUGGAAGGUGUUUACCAGGCGCAAUCCGGGGAAGAUCAAGACCAUUAAGGAAUACAAGCAGCAGCAGCAUGCUGAGCCAUGGAAACGUUCUUCUAAUGAAGAUGAAUGCAAAGCAAUGAGCGUCUUGGCAAACAUCAACAGAGUUGUUCACGGAAGUGAAAAACCCGGGUGGUGCUGAGUUCGGAGGAAUGUUUUAGAGAAUGCUGUGUCCAUGCCCUCAAGGGCUGUCUGAGGUCCAUGGGAAUUGCUUUUCUUGGACCCUUUCUACCCAAGGACCUGCAACCUCAUUGUCACAAGAACUUAAAGCAAGGCUCCAGGCAGGACAUUGUUGUCUGCACUCAUCUCUCUAAAAUUAAUGUAUGCCAGGACUCUGGCGGUCCUGUGGCCUUAGGGCCCAGGAAAACGGUCAUUAGGUGGCCUUAGGGCACAGGAAAAUGGUGUCCACCAGGUCCAUGCCAGAACCCUGGUGGUCCAGUGGUUAAGAAUCCACCUGCCAAUUCAGGGGACAUGGGUUUGAUCCUUGGUUGGGGAACUAAGAUCCCACAUGCUGUGGGGCAGUACCUAAGCCCAUGCACCACAACUACCGA
Molecule: long non-coding RNA, 1342 nt
Organism: Bubalus bubalis (water buffalo)
Lineage: Eukaryota; Metazoa; Chordata; Mammalia; Artiodactyla; Bovidae
Exons: 3
Source: RefSeq, a predicted model, not a curated record